UACGUAGGGGGCGAGCGUUGUCCGGAUUUAUUGGGCGUAAAGAGCGUGUAGGCGGCCAGGUAGGUCUGCUGUGAAACUCGAGCUCAACCUCGAGACGUCGGCGGAAACCAUCUGGCUAGAGUCCGGAAGAGGAGAGUGGAAUUCCGUGGUGUAGCGGUGAAAUGCGCAGAUUAUCAGGAAGAACACCCGUGGCGAAGGCGGCUCUCUGGGACGGUACUGACGCUGAGACGCGAAAGCGUGGGGAGCGAACAGGAUUAGAUACCC
RNAcentral lists this ribosomal RNA (264 nucleotides) under uncultured bacterium. Its description in RNAcentral is "partial 16S ribosomal RNA". It matches the Rfam family "Bacterial small subunit ribosomal RNA", at positions 524 to 787 of the family's 1533-position model. The record is from RNAcentral.